UCGUAAGGAACCAUGGUGCUCCGACGGC
RNAcentral lists this small RNA (28 nucleotides) under Bombyx mori (domestic silkworm). RNAcentral describes it as "ovarian small RNA-29088". Lineage: Eukaryota; Metazoa; Arthropoda; Insecta; Lepidoptera; Bombycidae. The record is from RNAcentral.